GGGUGUGUAGCUCAGCCUGGUUAGAGCGCUUCGUUGACAUCGAAGAGGUCUCUGGUUCAAAUCCAGACACACCCA
Molecule: transfer RNA, 75 nt
Filed under: Candidatus Sungiibacteriota bacterium
Lineage: Bacteria; Candidatus Sungiibacteriota
Description: tRNA-Val
Rfam family: tRNA
About the family: Transfer RNA (tRNA) molecules are approximately 80 nucleotides in length. Their secondary structure includes four short double-helical elements and three loops (D, anti-codon, and T loops).
Source: RNAcentral